RNAcentral lists this ribosomal RNA (251 nucleotides) under uncultured bacterium. RNAcentral describes it as "partial 16S ribosomal RNA". It matches the Rfam family "Bacterial small subunit ribosomal RNA", at positions 524 to 775 of the family's 1533-position model. The record is from RNAcentral.
UACGGGGGGGGCAAGCGUUGUUCGGAAUUACUGGGCGUAAAGGGCUCGUAGGCGGCCAACUAAGUCAGACGUGAAAUCCCUCGGCUUAACCGGGGACUGCGUCUGAUACUGGAUGGCUUGAGAUUGGGAGAGGGAUGCGGAAUUCCAGGUGUAGCGGUGAAAUGCGUAGAUAUCUGGAGGAACACCGGUGGCGAAGGCGGCAUCCUGGACCAACACUGACGCUGAGGAGCGAAAGCCAGGGGAGCAACGGG